AGAAUCAACGCUGGCGGCGUGCCUAACACAUGCAAGUCGAACGCGACUGGGGGCUUCGGCUCCAGUUGAGUGGCGAACGGGUGAGUAACACGUGGGUGACCUACCUUCGAAUGGGGGAUAACGUCCCGAAAGGGACGCUAAUACCGCAUAACAUCCUGCCUUUGAACAGGUGGAGAUCAAAGCCGGGGAUCGCAAGACCUGGCGUUUGAAGAGGGGCCCGCGUCCGAUUAGCUAGUUGGUGAGGUAACGGCUCACCAAGGCGACGAUCGGUA
Molecule: ribosomal RNA, 272 nt
Filed under: uncultured soil bacterium
Lineage: Bacteria
Description: partial 16S ribosomal RNA
Rfam family: Bacterial small subunit ribosomal RNA
Source: RNAcentral